This 114-nucleotide small nuclear RNA is filed under the name Galendromus occidentalis (western predatory mite). RNAcentral's name for it is "U5 spliceosomal RNA". It matches the Rfam family "U5 spliceosomal RNA". From Rfam's summary of the family: U5 RNA is a component of both types of known spliceosome. Lineage: Eukaryota; Metazoa; Arthropoda; Arachnida; Mesostigmata; Phytoseiidae. The record is from RNAcentral.
UCGCUCAGGUUUCACCGCAAGGACGAAUAUGCGUUUCGCCUUUUACUAAACGCAUCCGUGCGGAGGAACACUCACAAUGAGCCUAAUGGCAAUUUUUGUAGCCCCGUAAGGGGC